GCAAGUCGAGCGCGAAAGUUUCUCUUCGGAGAGGCGAGUAGAGCGGCAGACGGGUGAGUAACACGUGGAUAACCUGCCCCUUGGUGGAGGAUAACCACUCGAAAGGGUGGCUAAUACUGCAUAAGACCACGACUUUUCGGAGUUGAGGUUAAAGAUUUCGAUCGCCAAGGGAGGGGUCCGCGGCCGAUUAGCUAGUUGGUAGGGUAAUGGCUUACCAAGGCGACGAUCGGUAGCUGGUCUGAGAGGAUGGAC
RNAcentral lists this ribosomal RNA (252 nucleotides) under uncultured bacterium. Its description in RNAcentral is "partial 16S ribosomal RNA". It matches the Rfam family "Bacterial small subunit ribosomal RNA", at positions 57 to 305 of the family's 1533-position model. The record is from RNAcentral.